This 269-nucleotide unclassified non-coding RNA is filed under the name Hevea brasiliensis (rubber tree). The record is from RNAcentral. Lineage: Eukaryota; Viridiplantae; Streptophyta; Magnoliopsida; Malpighiales; Euphorbiaceae.
AAAAUGGUAGCAUUUUUGAAGCUAUAGCUAGAAUCUACUGUGCUGCUGGGUAAAGGUUUAGACAGGUUAGAUUGGACAGUUUGAAAGGCUGUAUGCUAAACCAAACCAAUCCUUUUGGGUUAAAAACAUUCCCAUCCAAAAUCACCCAAUAAAUGCUACAAACUAAACCAAUGCUUUAAGUCUGAAAAUUUUUGGGUUUAAUGUUAAGUAACCAGCCAAGCCAGUCUAGCAAACCCCAAUUUUAAUAACUCCAUGUGCUUUAGGGCAAA